GGUUUCACAGCUCAGUUGGUUAGAGUGUCGCACCAAUAGCGCGAGCUCACGGGUCCAAACCCUGUUGAAGUCC
This 73-nucleotide transfer RNA is filed under the name Acropora cervicornis. Its description in RNAcentral is "tRNA-Ile". Lineage: Eukaryota; Metazoa; Cnidaria; Anthozoa; Scleractinia; Acroporidae. The record is from RNAcentral.